GAGUUUGAUCAUGGCUCAGAUUGAACGCUGGCGGCAGGCCUAACACAUGCAAGUCGAGCGGUAGAGAGAAGCUUGCUUCUCUUGAGAGCGGCGGACGGGUGAGUAAUGCCUAGGAAUCUGCCUGGUAGUGGGGGAUAACGCUCGGAAACGGACGCUAAUACCGCAUACGUCCUACGGGAGAAAGCAGGGGACCUUCGGGCCUUGCGCUAUCAGAUGAGCCUAGGUCGGAUUAGCUAGUUGGUGAGGUAAUGGCUCACCAAGGCGACGAUCCGUAACUGGUCUGAGAGGAUGAUCAGUCACACUGGAACUGAGACACGGUCCAGACUCCUACGGGAGGCAGCAGUGGGGAAUAUUGGACAAUGGGCGAAAGCCUGAUCCAGCCAUGCCGCGUGUGUGAAGAAGGUCUUCGGAUUGUAAAGCACUUUAAGUUGGG
RNAcentral lists this ribosomal RNA (433 nucleotides) under uncultured bacterium. Its description in RNAcentral is "bacterial SSU rRNA". It matches the Rfam family "Bacterial small subunit ribosomal RNA", at positions 9 to 444 of the family's 1533-position model. The record is from RNAcentral.